GGCGGUAUUUUAGUCUAUUCAGAGGAAUCUGUCCUAUAAUUGAUAAUCCACGAUUUAAUUUACUUUUAGAAAAAAUUUAUAUAUCGUCGUAGUUUGAAUAUUUUAAAAGAAUUUUAAUGUUCAAAAUUUUUUUAUGAAAUUAAAUCAGAUCAAGGUGUAGUUUAUAUAAAAGAAGAGAUGGAUUACAUUAAAUUUAUUUAAAGAUUAAUUUUUGUAAAAUUUUAUGAAUAUGGAUUUGAUAGUAAUUUUUUUAAAAUUUUAAAGAUGAUUUAAGCUCUAAAAUAUG
This 286-nucleotide ribosomal RNA is filed under the name Desmocerus californicus dimorphus. Its description in RNAcentral is "partial small subunit ribosomal RNA". The record is from RNAcentral. Lineage: Eukaryota; Metazoa; Arthropoda; Insecta; Coleoptera; Cerambycidae.